Molecule: ribosomal RNA, 488 nt
Filed under: uncultured bacterium
Lineage: Bacteria
Description: bacterial SSU rRNA
Rfam family: Bacterial small subunit ribosomal RNA
Source: RNAcentral
GACGACGCUGGCGGCGUGGAUUAGGCAUGCAAGUCGAACGGUAGGAUACCUUCGGGUAUCUGAGAGUGGCGAACGGGUGAGUAACACGUAGGUGAUCUACCCUCAAGAUUGGGACAACCCAGGGGAAACUUGGGCUAAUACCGGAUGAAAGCAGCAGUGAUGUUGUUUGAAAGGUGGCGUAAGCUGCCGUUUGGGGAUGAGCCUGCGCUCUAUUAGUUAGUUGGCGGGGUAAAGGCCCACCAAGGCGAUGAUAGAUAGGCGGCCUUAACGGGUGGUCGCCCACACUGGGAUUGAGAUACGGCCCAGACUCCUACGGGAGGCAGCAGUCGAGAAUAGUCUACAAUGGCCGAAAGGCUGAUAGUGCGACGCCGCGUGAACGAAGAAGCCCUUCGGGGUGUAAAGUUCUUUUAUAUGUGAGCAGUGCUUUCUAUGUGAACAGCAUGGGGAGAGAGAUAUUAGCAUAUGAAUAAGCAACGGCUAACUCCGUG